RNAcentral lists this transfer RNA (72 nucleotides) under Hemiselmis andersenii. Its description in RNAcentral is "tRNA-Thr". It matches the Rfam family "tRNA". Rfam says of the family: Transfer RNA (tRNA) molecules are approximately 80 nucleotides in length. Their secondary structure includes four short double-helical elements and three loops (D, anti-codon, and T loops). Further hydrogen bonds mediate the characteristic L-shaped molecular structure. tRNAs have two regions of fundamental functional importance: the anti-codon, which is responsible for specific mRNA codon recognition, and the 3' end, to which the tRNAs corresponding amino acid is attached (by aminoacyl-tRNA synthetases). tRNAs cope with the degeneracy of the genetic code in two manners: having more than one tRNA (with a specific anti-codon) for a particular amino acid; and 'wobble' base-pairing, i.e. permitting non-standard base-pairing at the 3rd anti-codon position. Lineage: Eukaryota; Cryptophyceae; Cryptomonadales; Hemiselmidaceae. The record is from RNAcentral.
GCCCGCUUGGCGCAGUGGUAACGCAUUGGUCUUGUAAACCAAAGAUCACCAGUUCGAUUCUGGUAGCUGGCA